RNA transcript from Oryza sativa Japonica Group (Japanese rice), 1718 nucleotides. It is a transcript of the gene named putative F-box/FBD/LRR-repeat protein At4g03220, with no coding region annotated. The record is from RefSeq and is a predicted model, not a curated record. NCBI's taxonomy places the organism in Eukaryota, Viridiplantae, Streptophyta, Magnoliopsida, Poales, Poaceae.
CACACCAAAUUGGAAAACCGCAUUCCUAAAACCCUACCCGACGAAAUUGCAAUGGCGGACGGCGGCGGCGGGGCCGGCGACCUCCUGAGCGCGCUCCCCGACGACGUCCUCCACCUCAUCCUCCUCCGCCUCCGCUCCGCCGCCGCCGCGGCGCGCACCAGCGUCCUCGCCCGCCGCUGGCGCAGCCUCUGGACCACCCUCCCGGAGCUACGGUUCCCCGCCGUCACCGACCUCGCCCGCGUCACCGCCGCGCUCCUCUCCCACGACGCCCCGCUCCUCCACCGUCUCGAGCUCUGCAGCCACGACCCCGCCCCGCACGAGGUCGCCGCCGUCCUCCACUUGGCCGCGCGCAGCUUAGCAGGCAAGCUCCUCCUCGACAUCGUGAUGAGGAAGAAGAGAAAUCCGGUGGCGGCGGCGGCGGCCGGGAUUGGGGCCGCGUUUCACAUCCCCUGCUUCCGGAAGGCCACGGAGAUCAGCAUCCGCUUCGCCUACCUUACCAUCCGGCUGCCUCCCUUCGGUGUCUUCGCGAAGCUGUCCGUGCUGCGCUUGACCCGCUUCCGGCUUGACGACAGCCAGUGUGAUCAUCUCGGCGACAUCGUCUCCUCCGAGCGGUGCCCGUCGCUGCAAGCGCUCACUCUCUGCAAUUCUCAAGGCUUGUCAAAUCAGCCAUCCGCUCCAAGACUCUCCUCACCGUUGGCCUCUUUGAGCUGGAAGAACUGCAGCAGCUCACGAUUUCUGCUCCCAUGCUUAGAACACUGCAUCUGGUCCAUUGCUUAGACAAGAGGGCGGUAAGAGCCGCUGACAUCUCUGCUGCGGCGUUGGAGAAACUUGGGUGGAUUGGUCUGUGCGAUUGGAACUCGGUCCACUUCAAUGUGAUACAACACCUCAAGAGACUCGACACCUUGAACCUUUCGGUGUAUGGACCGCCGAAUCUUGUCGAUUCUUGAUACCCGGGCUCUAUGUCACUCCUCCAGCAUUUCAAAGCAGUCUCAAAUGUCGACCUCUAUCUCAUUUAUCCAUCUAGCAUGGUUGACUGUGAGUUCUUGAUGGAGGACAUGAAUACUCUCCCUGCCAUUGAGAUCUUAUCUCUGAGGUCAAUAACAGCAGGCCAUGCCUUUGGACCUUGUGUAUUCCAAUUGCUUAGGACGUCUACUGGUGUAAGAGAGUUGCACCUGGACUUGGAUCAUCACCUUAAGGGAGAAGUUUCUUGCUCAUCUGGCUGCAUCUGUUACAAGCCGUCGGACUGGGAGAGUAUGGAUAUCUGCUUGAAUUUUCUCCAGAAAGUUGAAAUCAACAAUUUGAGUGGAGCAGAGUAUGAAAUAUGUUUUGUGAAGCGACUGUUGACAUGGGCGCCAGUGCUCAAGAUGAUUACAGUAAUGUUUGGUCCUUCAGUAACUGUCAGCGAGGAGGUGUGCCAGGAGCUGCUUAGCUUCUCUAGGAGGUGUAGUCCAGGGAUUUGCAUGGAAAUUUACUUGCACGGCAACAGAGCCAAGGUUAUGUAUAGAGCAGUGAACCUGAAGAGACCUAGAGAUGAUUAACUGACAAUGAAAUGGCGACCUGGAGCCUAGUAUAUUCAGUCAAAGGAGCACUGUAAUUGGGCAAUUUUCAAGCCCGCCUCUGAGAUCAAUCUGUUGUAAGGAUGUUUGUCUCUCGUGAUAUAGGGAUUAAUUAUGUAUUUGAGCAUGGUUCAAUGCACUCUCAACUUGUUUCCGAAAUCA